GCGCUCGCUUCGCCAGCACAUAUACUAAAAUUGGAAUGAUAUGAGGAAGAUUAGCAUGGCCCCUGUGCAAGGUGACAUGCAAAUUCGUGAAGCGUUCCAUAUUUUU
Molossus molossus (Pallas's mastiff bat) is the source of this 106-nucleotide small nuclear RNA. Lineage: Eukaryota; Metazoa; Chordata; Mammalia; Chiroptera; Molossidae. The record is from RefSeq and is a predicted model, not a curated record.